RNAcentral lists this ribosomal RNA (291 nucleotides) under uncultured bacterium. Its description in RNAcentral is "partial 16S ribosomal RNA". It matches the Rfam family "Bacterial small subunit ribosomal RNA", at positions 506 to 796 of the family's 1533-position model. The record is from RNAcentral.
UGCCAGCAGCCGCGGUAAUACGGAGGGUGCGAGCGUUAAUCGGAAUCACUGGGCGUAAAGCGUGCGUAGGCGGCGUGGCAAGUCAGACGUGAAAGCCCUCGGCUCAACCGAGGAAUUGCGUUUGAAACUGCCAUGCUAGAGUCUCGGAGAGGUUAGGGGAAUUCCAGGUGUAGGAGUGAAAUCCGUAGAUAUCUGGAGGAACACCGGUGGCGAAGGCGCCUAACUGGACGAGUACUGACGCUGAGGUACGAAAGCGUGGGGAGCAAACAGGAUUAGAAACCCCCGUAGUCC